GACGAACCGUGCAAACGUUGUUCGGAAUCACUGGGCUUAAAGGGCGCGUAGGCGGGUUCUCAAGUCAGGGGUGAAAUCUUUCAGCUUAACUGGAAAACGGCCCCUGAUACUGGGAGUCUCGAGGGAGAUAGGGGCAUGUGGAACUUCCGGUGGAGCGGUGAAAUGCGUAGAUAUCGGAAGGAACGCCGGUGGCGAAAGCGACGUGCUGGAUCUCUACUGACGCUGAGGCGCGAAAGCCAGGGGAGCAAACGGG
RNAcentral lists this ribosomal RNA (253 nucleotides) under uncultured bacterium. RNAcentral's name for it is "partial 16S ribosomal RNA". It matches the Rfam family "Bacterial small subunit ribosomal RNA", at positions 524 to 776 of the family's 1533-position model. The record is from RNAcentral.